AGACCCGAAACCCGGUGAUCUAGCCAUGGGCAGGUUGAAGGUUGGGUAACACUAACUGGAGGACCGAACCGACUAAUGUUGAAAAAUUAGCGGAUGACCUGUGGCUGGGGGUGAAAGGCCAAUCAAACCGGGAGAUAGCUGGUUCUCCCCGAAAGCUAUUUAGGUAGCGCCUCGUGAAUUCAUCUCCGGGGGUAGAGCACUGUUUCGGCUAGGGGGCCAUCCCGGCUUACCAACCCGAUGCAAACUGCGAAUACCGGAGAAUGUUAUCACGGGAGACACACGGCGGGUGCUAACGUCCGUCGUGAAGAGGGAAACAACCCAGACCGCCAGCUAAGGUCCCAAAGUCAUGGUUAAGUGGGAAACGAUGUGGGAAGGCCCAGACAGCCAGGAUGUUGGCUUAGAAGCAGCCAUCAUUUAAAGAAAGCGUAAUAGCUCACUGGUCGAGUCGGCCUGCGCGGAAGAUGUAACGGGGCUAAACCAUGCACCGAAGCUGCGGCAGCGAACGUAUCACCCAAGACAACUUUGCGGAGUUGACGAUUGACGGAGCGAAGCGACGUCAAAGCGUUCAUUAAAGUCGAGUUGGCUUAGGGAUACGUUCGUUGGGUAGGGGAGCGUUCUGUAAGCCAGUGAAGGUGUGUCGUGAGGCAUGCUGGAGGUAUCAGAAGUGCGAAUGCUGACAUAAGUAACGAUAAAGCGGGUGAAAAGCCCGCUCGCCGGAAGACCAAGGGUUCCUGUCCAACGUUAAUCGGGGCAGGGUGAGUCGACCCCUAAGGCGAGGCCGAAAGGCGUAGUCGAUGGGAAACGGGUUAAUAUUCCCGUACUUGGUGUUACUGCGAAGGGGGGACGGAGAAGGCUAUGUUGGCCGGGCGACGGUUGUCCCGGUUUAAGCGUGUAGGUGUGUGUUCCAGGUAAAUCCGGUU
RNAcentral lists this ribosomal RNA (920 nucleotides) under Salmonella enterica. RNAcentral's name for it is "partial 23S ribosomal RNA". It matches the Rfam family "Bacterial large subunit ribosomal RNA", at positions 711 to 1547 of the family's 2925-position model. The record is from RNAcentral. Lineage: Bacteria; Pseudomonadati; Pseudomonadota; Gammaproteobacteria; Enterobacterales; Enterobacteriaceae. RNAcentral also lists the same sequence under 1 other name.